CACCAGACUCCUACGGGAGGCAGCAGUGGGGAAUAUUGCACAAUGGGGGAAACCCUGAUGCAGCGACGCCGCGUGAGUGAAGAAGUAUUUCGGUAUGUAAAGCUCUAUCAGCAGGGAAGAUAAUGACGGUACCUGACUAAGAAGCCCCGGCUAACUACGUGCCAGCAGCCGCGGUAAUACGUAGGGGGCAAGCGUUAUCCGGGUUUACUGGGUGUAAAGGGUGCGUAGGUGGCAGGGCAAGUCAGAUGUGAAAGCCCGGGGCUCAACCCCGGUACUGCAUUUGAAACUGUCCAGCUGGAGUGCAGGAGAGGUAAGCGGAAUUCCUAGUGUAGCGGUGAAAUGCGUAGAUAUUAGGAGGAACACCAGUGGCGAAGGCGGCUUACUGGACUGUAACUGACACUGGGGCACGAAAGCGUGGGGAGCAAACAGGAUUAGAUACCCCAGUACG
This 448-nucleotide ribosomal RNA is filed under the name uncultured bacterium. RNAcentral describes it as "bacterial SSU rRNA". It matches the Rfam family "Bacterial small subunit ribosomal RNA", at positions 329 to 793 of the family's 1533-position model. The record is from RNAcentral.